GCCUCUGUGGCGCAAUGGUAGCGCGUACGACUCCUAAACGAGAUUAUCGUCGGUAAUCGUAAGGUUCGGAGUUCGAGUCUCCGUUGAGGUA
Molecule: transfer RNA, 91 nt
Filed under: Penicillium griseofulvum
Lineage: Eukaryota; Fungi; Ascomycota; Eurotiomycetes; Eurotiales; Aspergillaceae
Rfam family: tRNA
About the family: Transfer RNA (tRNA) molecules are approximately 80 nucleotides in length. Their secondary structure includes four short double-helical elements and three loops (D, anti-codon, and T loops).
Source: Rfam by way of RNAcentral